GAUCCUGGCUUAGGAUGAACGCUGGCGGCGCGCUUAACACAUGCAAGUCGAACGGUUAAAGCCCCUUCGGGGGUGCAUACAGUGGCGAACGGCUGAGUAACACGUGGGCAACCUGCCCCCCGCACCGGGAUAGCCUCGGGAAACCGUGGGUAAUACCGGAUACUCCGCAGCCCCCCGCAUGGGGGAGGCGGGAAAGCGUACACGGCGGGGGAUGGGCCCGCGGCCUGUUAGCUCGUUGGCGGGGUAACGGCCCACCAAGGCGAUUAUGGGUAGCCGGGUUGAGAGACCGACCGGCCAGAUUGGGACUGAGACACGGCCCAGACUCCUACGGGAGGCAGCAGUGGGGAAUCUUGCACAAUGGGCGAAAGCCUGAUGCAAGCGACGCCGCGUGCGGGAGGAAGGCCCUCGGGUUGUAAACCGCUUUCAGCAGGGACGAGGCGCGAGUGACGGUACCUGCAGAAGAAGCCCCGGCUAACUACGUGCCAGCAGCAGC
RNAcentral lists this ribosomal RNA (493 nucleotides) under uncultured bacterium. RNAcentral's name for it is "bacterial SSU rRNA". It matches the Rfam family "Bacterial small subunit ribosomal RNA", at positions 15 to 518 of the family's 1533-position model. The record is from RNAcentral.